Molecule: transfer RNA, 71 nt
Filed under: Loxodonta africana (African savanna elephant)
Lineage: Eukaryota; Metazoa; Chordata; Mammalia; Proboscidea; Elephantidae
Rfam family: tRNA
About the family: Transfer RNA (tRNA) molecules are approximately 80 nucleotides in length. Their secondary structure includes four short double-helical elements and three loops (D, anti-codon, and T loops).
Source: Rfam by way of RNAcentral
GUUUUUGUGGUUCAGUGGUAGAAUUCUCGCCUUCCAUGCAGGAGACCCAGGUUCAAUUCCUGGCCAACGUA